UACGGAGGGGGCUAGCGUUGUUCGGAAUUACUGGGCGUAAAGCGCACGUAGGCGGACUGGAAAGUCAGGGGUGAAAUCCCGGGGCUCAACCCCGGAACUGCCUUUGAAACUUCCAGUCUUGAGGUCGAGAGAGGUGGGUGGAAUUCCGAGUGUAGAGGUGAAAUUCGUAGAUAUUCGGAGGAACACCGGUGGCGAAGGCGGCCCACUGGCUCGAUACUGACGCUGAGGUGCGAAAGCGUGGGGAGCAAACAGG
RNAcentral lists this ribosomal RNA (253 nucleotides) under uncultured bacterium. Its description in RNAcentral is "partial 16S ribosomal RNA". It matches the Rfam family "Bacterial small subunit ribosomal RNA", at positions 524 to 776 of the family's 1533-position model. The record is from RNAcentral.